UAGGCGACCGGCGCACGGGUGAGUAACACGUAUCCAACCUGCCGAUGACUCGGGGAUAGCCUUUCGAAAGAAAGAUUAAUACCCGAUGGCAUAGUUCUUCCGCAUGGUAGAACUAUUAAAGAAUUUCGGUCAUCGAUGGGGAUGCGUUCCAUUAGGUUGUUGGCGGGGUAACGGCCCACCAAGCCUUCGAUGGAUAGGGGUUCUGAGAGGAAGGUCCCCCACAUUGGAACUGAGACACGGUCCAA
Molecule: ribosomal RNA, 245 nt
Filed under: uncultured bacterium
Lineage: Bacteria
Description: partial 16S ribosomal RNA
Rfam family: Bacterial small subunit ribosomal RNA
Source: RNAcentral